GGCCCAUAGGAUCGAUUAUAUUUUUAACAUAGUGUGCUUUUCCCAUCUCUAUAGAAAAAGGCUUAAAAACAUGAUACAUGAAUGGUCUUACAACUCACUGUUGACCCUGCUCCAUGCUGCAGUGGGAAUUAACUACAUUUGCAAAGUGCUUUGCAGUCAUUUUUAUUAUGGUGUUAUUUGAAUGUUAAUAAUAAUUUUGUGGUAACAGCGACAUGCUAAAUGGCUGCAGUGUGGGUAUGGUGUUGCAGGACCUGAAAAUAAAAUAGUUUUUUAAGGUGGUGCAGAAUGUCCUUUUUGGGCCUGGCUAUUGAGGAUAAUAAGCACAUAACUGGUAAAGUUAUUGAAAUAUAAAUUCAGGUUGCUCACUGCAACAGUAUAUUAUUGUUAUGCUUAUAGCAGAU
RNAcentral lists this long non-coding RNA (401 nucleotides) under Homo sapiens (human). Its description in RNAcentral is "HSALNT0151127". The record is from RNAcentral. Lineage: Eukaryota; Metazoa; Chordata; Mammalia; Primates; Hominidae.